This 542-nucleotide unclassified non-coding RNA is filed under the name Hevea brasiliensis (rubber tree). The record is from RNAcentral. Lineage: Eukaryota; Viridiplantae; Streptophyta; Magnoliopsida; Malpighiales; Euphorbiaceae.
UUUUUUUUAAUUUUUUUUUUUAUAGUUUGGCUACAGUUUGUAUUGUUAGGAUUGUCACACGUAUAUUUUUUGGUUGUCCAUCUGCUGCAAUUGUCUUCUUUGUUGGGCUUGGCCACUUGGGAUUUGUCAGUAGUUGUAUAGACACAAAAUACUGGCAAUUAUGCUGGUCCAAUAGUUUCUUAAAUAUUGUCCUGAACUGUUGGAAUGAAGGGUGAGAUUUAGGCAUGUUAACCAUGUGAAUUUGCUUAGUCACUUCAAAACAGCCUCAUCUAGUCUAAACAUAAUUUCAGGAACAUGGAUUUAAAUCACGGUCACGGUUGCGGUUGCGGAUAAUGGAUUAAACUAAAAUAAGUAUGUAGUUAGUAUAGAAAUAACCUUAUUACAACGAAAAAGAGUGUCUAAGAGGUUCUUGAUUAUUUUGACUUUGAUUUUGAGAGCUCUGAUCAUCAACUUGUUGAUGAUAUUGAUACUGUAAUGGAUUAAAGUUGAAGGAAGAAUCCAUAUCGAAGUUGAAGAAAUCAUGAUUAUUUAUUUUUCUUAAA